Cebus imitator (Panamanian white-faced capuchin) is the source of this 107-nucleotide long non-coding RNA. RefSeq lists it as uncharacterized. NCBI's taxonomy places the organism in Eukaryota, Metazoa, Chordata, Mammalia, Primates, Cebidae. The record is from RefSeq and is a predicted model, not a curated record. The transcript has 3 exons.
AUGACCUCCCACGGGUGUUCACGGAAAAUGGUGCCACGCAUGCGCAAAACUUCCCGAGCCAGCAUCCACCACAUCAAACCCACUGAGUGAGCUCCCUUGUUGAUAGA